Clupea harengus (Atlantic herring) is the source of this 1442-nucleotide long non-coding RNA. The record is from Ensembl. Lineage: Eukaryota; Metazoa; Chordata; Actinopteri; Clupeiformes; Clupeidae.
GCCAAACUGAUUUUUGUGACCACGCCCCCGAGGCGGAAUUUCACCUGGCGAAUUCCACCUGGUCAUAUGCUGUGUGUGAACGAACAGUGAGCACGUUUAGCGUGAGCAGCUAACCAAAAGCCUGCUAGCUAACGCUGCAACCGGAGCAAACCAAUACAAAGCACGAAAUCGCGGAUACAUGCAACAGAACGAGCGAUCAUAUCCUCCUAAACUGCAGUGUAACACGCCAUCAAGACGACAUCUCAGCUACGACUUCCUUCAUCUACGGACACUCUCCAAAAGACUUGGGCAUUUAGCUUUCCUUGCUAUUCACAACCUGGGCUAGUCAUAGGGAUGGUGUGGUGUAAAGCCUGUGGAAACAGCGUGGGUGUGUGUGUGGACCGCUGCUGUGACAUCUGCUGCCAGGGCUGUGUGAGCUGCUGUGGUUGCCUGUGCCCCCGUGACUGUCUCUACACAUUCUGUGCCAUGUAUUACCGCCUUGCCCACUACUGUUCUGUCGGUCAGAAACCAGAGCCGGCCUAUGCCAUGCCUGGAUCACUCAUGGGGAUGGUGUGGUGUAAAGCAUUAGCACCAUGGUCCCAGAACAGUGGAAACGGUCACGAGGCCCCUCCAUCCUGCACGUCCUGCAGCAUGGGUGUGUGUGUGGACCGCUGCUGUGACAUCUGCUGCCAGGGCUGUGUGGGCUGCUUUGGUUGCCUGUGCCCCCGUGACUGUCUCUACACAUUCUGUGCCAUGAUUGCCCGCCUUGCCCACUACUGUUCUGUCGGUCAGAAACCAGAGCCGGCCUAUGCCAUGCCUGGAUCACAGAAAUGCUUCAGUGUGGGAGAAGAGGUGUAGAUGCCACUUUGGCCAAGUUGACGGAGACACAGCGGAGACAGAUGGCCCCAAUGGCAGUCCUCCUCACCCAAAUGUUCCAUCAUCUUUCACCUCUGUCUGUAUUGAUUGGGUCACCAUUUGCUUUUGAGUAGAUUGUUAAGCAUUCUGUGCUUAUUAUUUUGUGAUUGUAUUUUUUUUUAUCAUGUAUACCCAUACUAGCAAUGUUUCUGUGCUCGAUAACAAAAGUUAACAAAUGAUGGCAAUUUCAAUAAAGGCGCUGCCACGCAAAUUCAUCCACUUACUCUGUCUACAGUGCACUGCAAAAAUUCAGCUUUUAAAAACAAGCAAAAAAGUUAGAAAAUGGGGGAUAUAUUACUUAAAAUAAGCAAAAUGAUCUGCCAACAGAACAGGAAAAUUUGGCUUACCAAGAUUUAAAAAAGAAAACCCAAAUAUACCUAAACAACUAAAAACAAGUACAUUUGUCUUGAUUCUGACUUUGACAAAGCAGUUUUGUACUUGUCAGCGGUGAUCAAACUAGUUUCAAGCAUUAACUUGCUCAGAACCAGUAAUAAAAUCUCAGUAACAGGUUAUAAUACCGUAUUAAGAUAAUUAAGAACCGAAACGCU